AACGCACAUUGCGCCCGCCAGUAUCCUGGCGGGCAUGCCUGUUCGAGCGUCAUUUCAACCCUCAAGCCCUGCUUGGUGUUGGGGACCCGCGGCCGCCGCGGGCCCUGAAAGGAAGUGGCGGGCUCGUUGCACUCCGAGCGAAGUAGACUUAUAGCUAGCUAUGGAGGUGCGUCGGGUUUCCGGCCGUUAAAGAACCCCAUCUUUAACCAAGGUUGACCUCGGAUCAGGUAGGAAUACCCGCUGAACUUAA
RNAcentral lists this unclassified non-coding RNA (250 nucleotides) under uncultured Sordariomycetes. Its description in RNAcentral is "sequence contains ITS2". The stretch from base 1 to 52 matches the Rfam family "5.8S ribosomal RNA", at positions 103 to 154 of the family's 154-position model. Lineage: Eukaryota; Fungi; Ascomycota; Sordariomycetes. The record is from RNAcentral.